This 497-nucleotide ribosomal RNA is filed under the name uncultured bacterium. RNAcentral describes it as "partial 16S ribosomal RNA". It matches the Rfam family "Bacterial small subunit ribosomal RNA", at positions 28 to 507 of the family's 1533-position model. The record is from RNAcentral.
GAUGAACGCUGGCGGCGUGCCUAAUACAUGCAAGUCGAGCGAACAGACGAGGAGCUUGCUCCUCUGACGUUAGCGGCGGACGGGUGAGUAACACGUGGAUAACCUACCUAUAAGACUGGGAUAACUUCGGGAAACCGGAGCUAAUACCGGAUAAUAUAUUGAACCGCAUGGUUCAAUAGUGAAAGACGGUUUUGCUGUCACUUAUAGAUGGAUCCGCGCCGCAUUAGCUAGUUGGUAAGGUAACGGCUUACCAAGGCGACGAUGCGUAGCCGACCUGAGAGGGUGAUCGGCCACACUGGAACUGAGACACGGUCCAGACUCCUACGGGAGGCAGCAGUAGGGAAUCUUCCGCAAUGGGCGAAAGCCUGACGGAGCAACGCCGCGUGAGUGAUGAAGGUCUUCGGAUCGUAAAACUCUGUUAUUAGGGAAGACCAAAUGUGUAAGUAACUAUGCACGUCUUGACGGUACCUAAUCAGAAAGCCACGGCUAACUACGUG